UACGUAGGGGGCAAGCGUUAUCCGGAAUUACUGGGUGUAAAGGGAGCGUAGACGGUUAAACAAGUCUGAAGUGAAAUGCCGGGGCUCAACCCCGGAGCUGCUUUGGGAACUGUAGAACUGGAGUGUCGGAGGGGUAAGCGGAAUUCCCAGUGUAGCGGUGAAAUGCGUAGAUAUUGGGAGGAACACCGGCGGCGAAGGCGGCUUACUGGACGACAACUGACGUUGAGGCUCGAAGGCGUGGGUAGCAAACAGG
Molecule: ribosomal RNA, 253 nt
Filed under: uncultured bacterium
Lineage: Bacteria
Description: partial 16S ribosomal RNA
Rfam family: Bacterial small subunit ribosomal RNA
Source: RNAcentral